AUGCCAGCAGCCGCGGUAAUACGGAGGGUGCAAACGUUGCUCGGAAUUACUGGGCGUAAAGCGCGCGUAGGCGGAUUGGUCAGUCAGGGGUGAAAUCCCGGGGCUUAACCUCGGAACUGCCUUUGAUACUGCCAGUCUCGAGUCCGGAAGAGGUGAGUGGAAUUCCUAGUGUAGAGGUGAAAUUCGUAGAUAUUAGGAAGAACACCGGUGGCGAAGGCGACUCACUGGUCCGGUACUGACGCUGAGGCGCGAAAGCGUGGGGAGCAAACAGGAUUAGAUACCCUGGUAGUCCACGCCGUAAACGAUGGAUGCUAGCCGUUGGGUAGUAUACUGCUCAGUGGCGCAGCUAACGCAUUAAGCAUCCCGCCUGGGGAGUACGGCCGCAAGGUUAAAACUUAAAUGAAUUGGCGGGG
RNAcentral lists this ribosomal RNA (413 nucleotides) under uncultured prokaryote. RNAcentral's name for it is "bacterial SSU rRNA". It matches the Rfam family "Bacterial small subunit ribosomal RNA", at positions 505 to 918 of the family's 1533-position model. The record is from RNAcentral.